GAUGGACGCUGGCGGCGUGCCUAAUACAUGCAAGUCGAGCGAACAGACGAGGAGCUUGCUCCUCUGACGUUAGCGGCGGACGGGUGAGUAACACGUGGAUAACCUACCUAUAAGACUGGGAUAACUUCGGGAAACCGGAGCUAAUACCGGAUAAUAUAUUGAACCGCAUGGUUCAAUAGUCAAAGACGGUUUUGCUGUCACUUAUAGAUGGAUCCGCGCCGCAUUAGCUAGUUGGUAAGGUAACGGCUUACCAAGGCAACGAUGCGUAGCCGACCUGAGAGGGUGAUCGGCCACACUGGAACUGAGACACGGUCCAGACUCCUACGGGAGGCAGCAGUAGGGAAUCUUCCGCAAUGGGCGAAAGCUUGACGGAGCAACGCCGCGUGAGUGAUGAAGGUCUUCGGAUCGUAAAACUCUGUUAUUAGGGAAGAACAAAUGUGUAAGUAACUAUGCACGUCUUGACGGUACCUAAUCAGAAAGCCACGGCUAACUACGUG
RNAcentral lists this ribosomal RNA (497 nucleotides) under uncultured bacterium. Its description in RNAcentral is "partial 16S ribosomal RNA". It matches the Rfam family "Bacterial small subunit ribosomal RNA", at positions 28 to 507 of the family's 1533-position model. The record is from RNAcentral.